RNAcentral lists this ribosomal RNA (117 nucleotides) under Danio rerio (zebrafish). The record is from RNAcentral. Lineage: Eukaryota; Metazoa; Chordata; Actinopteri; Cypriniformes; Danionidae.
AGCCACAGCCAUGUCACCCUGCACCCCAAGACCGGUUACUCACUGAAGCUAAGCAGGGCUGAGCCUGGUCAGUACCUGGAAGGGAGACCACUAGGGAACACUAGGUUGCUGUUGGAA